GCAUGUCGAGGCAGAUAGCCAUACUCAGCCAAGAAUGACUUGCCCGCAUACUGUUAUGAAGUAUUGUUCCACAUGCGCAUUUCAGUCCUGCGGGUAGGUUAUUCUUGGCAAAGCAUCGCUAUCUCCUUUUUCAUGC
RNAcentral lists this microRNA precursor (136 nucleotides) under Picea abies (Norway spruce). Lineage: Eukaryota; Viridiplantae; Streptophyta; Pinopsida; Pinales; Pinaceae. The record is from RNAcentral.